RNAcentral lists this ribosomal RNA (324 nucleotides) under uncultured eukaryote. RNAcentral describes it as "partial 18S ribosomal RNA". It matches the Rfam family "Eukaryotic small subunit ribosomal RNA", at positions 1470 to 1796 of the family's 1831-position model. The record is from RNAcentral.
CCCUUAGAUGUCCCGGGCUGCACGCGCGCUACACUGAUGUGUCCAGUAAGCACCUAACCUCUUCCGAAAGGAACGGGUAACCUUUGCAAAGCACAUCGUGAUGGGGAUAGAUUAUUGCAAUUAUUAGUCUUGAACGAGGAAUUCCUAGUAAGCACAAGUCAUCAGCUUGUGUUGAUUACGUCCCUGCCCUUUGUACACACCGCCCGUCGCUCCUACCGAUUGAAUGUUCCGGUGAGCUCUUCGGACUGCGCGGUCUGCAGUUUCUGCGUUCCGUGCGGAAAGUUGCGCAAACCUUAACAUUUAGAGGAAGGAGAAGUCGUAACA